UACGUAGGUGGCAAGCGUUGUCCGGAUUUACUGGGCGUAAAGAGCGCGCAGGCGGUCGUUCAAGUCGCGUGUGAAAGCCCCCGGCUCAACUGGGGAGGGUCACGCGAUACUGAUCGACUCGAAGGCAGGAGAGGGUAGUGGAAUUCCCGGUGUAGUGGUGAAAUGCGUAGAUAUCGGGAGGAACACCAGUGGCGAAGGCGGGUCUCUGGGCCGUAACUGACGCUGAGGAGCGAAAGCGUGGGGAGCGAACAGG
RNAcentral lists this ribosomal RNA (253 nucleotides) under uncultured bacterium. RNAcentral describes it as "partial 16S ribosomal RNA". It matches the Rfam family "Bacterial small subunit ribosomal RNA", at positions 524 to 776 of the family's 1533-position model. The record is from RNAcentral.